RNAcentral lists this long non-coding RNA (804 nucleotides) under Coturnix japonica (Japanese quail). Its description in RNAcentral is "lncRNA (ENSCJPG00005015679.1)". Lineage: Eukaryota; Metazoa; Chordata; Aves; Galliformes; Phasianidae. The record is from RNAcentral.
AUGAUCAGAGGGGAGGGAGCAGGCGGCACCGGGCCGGGCGGCCGGGAGCCGCCUCUAGGGGGGGUUCUCGGGGCCGCCUCGCCCCCCGCCGUGCCCGGAGAGCGGCCCUGGCCCCGGAGAGAUGGCAGCUGGGCGCUGCCGGCGCUCGAUGGCAGGAGUGCAGCCGUUCGGCUGGCCCCGGCGCCGAGAGGGUUAACGCUCCCACACCCCUCCUCUUCCAUGAGGUGCGCGGGGAGGAGACGGGAAGUGUGGCUUUCCCCGCGGCCGGGCCGCUGUGCGGGGCAGCGGCGGGCGGGGGGGGUCAGGCCCGGUCCCCCUUCUCGGUCCCGCUCCCUGCGGGGCAGCCCGUACGUGUGGGUCCCCGUCUGCCCCGAUUCGCCUGCCGAGUUUCUGGGAUUCGUGUUCCCGGGAGGGCGGUGUCACUGCGGGGGCAGCGAGACGGGGCUCGUGCGAGUGUCAGCGUGUGCGGGGGGCCGGAGGGAAAGCAGAGCUGCCCUGGUUGCUGAGCGGCUGCGAGAGCUCCGCUCGCUCAGAUUUCGCACUCCUAAGCAACUUUUUAGCUUUUGCACGAGAAAUCGGGGCGUGCGGCAAGCCUCUGCCGGUGUCCCGAAGAGCCAGCGGGAGGGAGAAGGCAGAAGGAAAAGAAUGGCAGCGCGACUGAUGAACCCACACGUCCUCUCCCAAGCCUGCGGGAGCCACUCCAAGGCGUGUGUGCGUGCUGCGAGCCUCGUGUGCGUGUGCAGGGGAGGCUGCGUGGGUGUGCGCGCCCCGGGGAGGGGGGGCCGUGCACUGAGUGCACCGUAA